GAAUUUGACACGAACACUUUCAACUCCAACUCACUCAGUCUAAUGACGACUUCUAACUUCAUCUUCAUCUUCAUCUUCCUUAUCCAAUUCUUCACCAUUCCCUCACUUGCUGACCUCCCCGGCACGUGGGAACUCCUGGUCCCUGACGCCGGAAUUGCUUCGAUGCACACCGCCGUCACCCAUUACAACACUGUUGUACUCCUUGACCGCACCGAUAUUGGUCCUUCCCGAAGAAGACUCCCUCCCCACCAUUGCCGUAACGACCCCAAUGACCCCAUUUUGAAAAAAGACUGUUAUGCUCACUCUCUUCUUCUUGAUU
Molecule: unclassified non-coding RNA, 319 nt
Filed under: Hevea brasiliensis (rubber tree)
Lineage: Eukaryota; Viridiplantae; Streptophyta; Magnoliopsida; Malpighiales; Euphorbiaceae
Source: RNAcentral